CAAACAAGCAGGCUCCGAUCAACCCGGAAAAAGGAAGUGCAAGAGCCUAAAAAGAGUUGUUUCGGUGUGCAUUCCUGGGAAUUCGACUUCAAAUACAACUGAUGGCAACGAUUGGUGAAAUCGUUUUAAUAACUGCAGUAAAAGAGAGUUACUCAUAAAUCAUUGCAAUCCCUACAGGUGAGAUGCUGCUCACGUUAACUGGAUAGUUUACGUCGUCGAGCCGCGCGCCACUCCUGGGCUGAAGAAGAGCUGGCGAGAUAACUCUUUGUUUAAUGCCUGGGUUGCAGCCAGAUCUUAUCUGUCCCUGUGUCCCCUCUGAAAUGACAUGACACUGAGUGUUCACCACAAUCAUAAGACAAUGGCGAGAAUAGCAUGGUAUCAAGAGAAGAUCGGUGCAUAUGAUCAGCAGGUUUGGGAGAAGUCUCUGGAACAGGCUGAACUUAAUGGCAUGGACUGUAAACCAAAGAGGUCCGGUCAUGUCAAGCCAGACCUCAUUGAUGUUGAUUUAGUAAGAGGAUCUACAUUCGGCAAGGCCAAGCCCGAUAGUCCAUGGACGGCGUUGACCCGUAAGGGCCUGGUCAGGGUGCUCCUCUUCCCCUUCUUCUUCCAGUGGUGGAUCCAGGUGACCUCCAGGUCCAUCUCUACCUGUAUCCUGUUGCUCUACUUCAUGCAAGUGGCUGCAGCAAUGUUGUACGUGGAGGUUCCUGCAGCCAGUGCUAGUGAGCAGUUGGGGCCUAUGUGUCUUAUGUUAUUGCUGGGGACAGUGCACUGCCAGAUAGUGUCCACAGUGUCCAACCGGAGCCCUUCAGUCAGUCCUGUCAGCAGCAGCAGCACCAGCCCUGCACGCAGGAGGAGGCUAAGGAAGGGUAAAGGAUUGAAGAGGACAGAGGGACAGGGGAACGAUGGUGACACUGAGCUGCAGCUUUGGCAGCUGGAGGAAAACCAAAGGUUGUACAGAUCAGAGGAGGGAAGGACAAAUCAGAGAAAGUCAGGCUUUGGGGCCUCUGAUGAGCUUUCCAGUGAGGAGGAAGAGGAUGAUAAGGAAGCAAAACCACCCACUAGUGUAGCUGGACCAACACCUACCACUGUCCUCAGGAAGAGACACCUUCACUCCUUCUCAAAUCCCUCACCACCUGAGGAGGAAAAUAGUGGAGGUGCCAAGGACACUAAGGUGAACCCUCGUGAAGUGGAGCACCUGAGGAUCGAGGGCUCGCGCCCGGCCUCUGACACAGAUGAUACUAUGUGGGAGGAUCUUCUUCAAGGGCCUGACUCCGCUUCCACUGGCAGCAGUGACAGUGAGGGGGAGGGGCGGUACUGCCCUGGCCUGACUCUUCCCCCAUCCACCACUCUCAGCAGUGAUGAUGAGAACCUACAGCAGGGCCAACUAUCGUGGCUGCAGGCGUGCCACCCAUCCAGAGACCGGGUCAGUGCCAUCAUCUGGGAGCAGGGGGAGUGCAAGAAAGCAGACAUGUCAGUACUGGAGAUCAGUGGGAUCAUCCUCACACGGGUGAAGGUGGUGGAGCAGGGCAUGGGUUACCUAGCCCUGGGGGGGUUGGUCACUGCCACACUGGUGCUGCUUCCCUUUGGCUUCCGCCUGGCACAGCGGCUGGACAUGACACGCCUGAGCUCCCUGUCUCUGGCUGAGCUGGCUGUCAUGGCGGUGGGGCCACCCGACGCCAAGACCUACGCCUUCCUCUUCAUCACCACUGUGGAGAGGCUCUGCCUUACAGGCCUCUUCUUCUUCAUGAUGUGUGUGGCAGAGAGGACCUACAAACAGAGGCUUGUUUUCGCCAAACUCUUCAACCACAUCACAUCAGCACGAAAGGCCAAAAAGUCGGAAAUACCCCACUUCAGGCUGAAGAAUGUGCAGAACAUUAAGAUGUGGCUGUCGCUCCGCUCCUUCCUCAAGAGACGUGGGCCCCAGCGUUCUGUUGAUGUCAUCGUCUCCUCCAUAUUCCUCCUGGCCCUUUCUAUCGCCUUCAUCUUGUGUACACAGCUCCUAAACAGUCACCACACAUUCCUGGACUCUGAGACCAACUGGGAGCUCAUGGUGUGGGGUUCCUCUCUCAUCCUCUUCCUGCUCCGCCUGGCCACCCUGGGCUCCGAGACCAACUGUAAAUACAGCAACGUGUCAGUGCUGCUUACCGAACAGGUAAGGCCCCCUGCUACACACACACAAUCAAGGUUCGCAUUAACGCAGGAUUCUGCAUUUUUUACGCAGAAAGGGAAAGAUAGAAAAAAAGAUCUGCUGCAUUUUAUAAACACAGAUUUUAAAAUGCUUCUUCUUGUAAAUUCUGCUCGGCUUCAGUCAGGGUUCGCUCCAAAUCAUGAAUGGAAAAGGACUAAUUUCGUGCAUCAGUUGCACUUCUACACUCGGAUGAAAUAUCUUUGCUCUUGUCAUUGGAUCACCAGACAGCGUUCUGACUGAUGUAGGCUACUUUUCUCUGGUACUUUCCUCCGGUUUAGUUUUUCUCUGGUAGCAAGUUAAAAUGCAAGAUUAACUUCAAACAAAACUUCAGGAAGUGUUGUUGGCUACAUUCUUUUUGUGAUAAACAUUAGAAAUAUGGCCAUGCAUCGUUUUUGCAAAAAAUACCUUGCUUUUUCAUUGUAAGCUAACUUACUUGUGUGGCUGCUAGCCAAAUAGUGUUACCCUUCUGUUGUCAUCUGAUGAAAACUAUUUUCUGCCAAAUGUGUUGCACAGCCAGCUACAACUGGGUAUUCCACGUGGAGAAGCUUCUAGAAACAAUGGGGUAGUUCAAUGCAGUAGUGAAAUGCAUGUGCGUGUCUCUUUGAUGUUUGAUAGAACUUGAUUGAUGUCGUUUUUGGCCAAUGAAUGCAUGAUGUCCGUUGAGUGUUCACUACUUUAACAUAGAUGUGCUAUGAUAUUAAGCUAGUGAUGUUUCAAAUGUCCUCUUUGGACAUGUUUACCGAAACAGUCCACUCACACCAACGUGUGUUAGCUGAGACAUGCACCGUAGUUCACUGCCUUGGAUGGAGAAACACAUUGCUAAUACUAGCUACACCAAGCACCUCUGCGACCUUCAUUUCUUGAUCAUGGAUAUUAUAUUCAAUCUCCUCUGGUGGACAUGUGGGUUACAACGGGUAAAGUAUUUAUCCGAUCACAAGAACGCAGCCAAGUAGGAUUCACAUCAACAUCAAAGCUCUUCUCUUUCCCUCUGGACAUGCACAGGUGCCUUCUGGGAAUAAUUAAGUGCUUUGCAAUAAAAGUCUUAAAGGGGUACUGUCAGUAAUAAUGACUCAAUAUAGUUUCAGAAUAAAAGUAUGAUACAAAGAUCUAUGCUACAACUCUAUUGAAGCAAAAACUUUAUUAAUACAUCUCCCUCUCAAUUAUUUUCUUAUUUCAGAUCAACUUGUAUCUUAAGAUGGAAAAGAAGCCCAACAAGAAAGAAAAUUUGAACAUAGUGAACAAUGUUCUGAAGCUUGCAACAAAACUAAUGAAAGUAAGGAUGUCUCUCAACUUCAGCCCAUCAUGACUUUUUUGACUUUAGUCAAAUCUACUGAGCUGAGAGGCCUCCUGAGUAACACAGCGGUCUAAGGAACUGCAUCGCAGUGCUAGCUGCGUUACUACAAAUGCAGGUUUGAUACCGGGCUGUAUCGCAGCCGGCCGCAACCCGGGAGAUCCAUGAGGCGACGCAUAAUUGGCCCAGCGUCGUCCGGGUUUGGGGAGGGUUUGGCCGGCCAGGAUGUCCUCCCAGACGCAUGCACACUGACACGGUCGCCAGGUGUACGGUCACCAGGUGUUUCCUCCGACACAUUGGUGUGGCUUGCUUCCGGGUUAAGCGACAUUGUGUCAAGAAGCAGUGCGGCUUGACGGGGUUGUGUUUCAAAGGACGCAUGGCUCUCGACCUUCACCUCUCCCGAGUCCGUACGGAAGUUUCAGCGAUGGGACAAGACUGUAACUACCAAUUUGGGAGAAAAAGGGGGUCAAAAAAAAUGAUCAUAAUAAAUAAAAAAGAAUCUGCUGGGCUGGUAGUUGUUUAUUCAGCAUAACGUGCAGUGAAAGCAUCUCUGACUGGGUUUUCAUACCAACCCUUUUACAGGAGCUUGACACCCCCUUCCGACUGCUGGGGCUGACUGUGAACCCUCUCAUCUAUAACAUCACACGCGUGGUCAUCCUGUCUGCAGUCUCCGCUGUGGUCAGCGACCUGCUCGGUUUCAACAUCCGACUGUGGAAGAUUAAGCCUUAAUGUGAACUUGCUAAACCACUAACUGUUGGAUACUGGAGACUGCCAACUCCUACCAUCCACAGCUGGCAAUCUGUGCAAAGUGUGCAAACCUACUGAGUGAUCGCCUAUGCAUCUCUGUGCCUUCCCAGAAACAUUGAACUUUAAAUUACACAAUACAAUUGUGGUCAUACACAAGCAUGAGCGCUUUACAAUCAAUGAUACACACAUCCCUGGCUACGGAAUCAUUGUAGCCUGAACUGAUCUGCUGCAGCAGUUCCAGUGCCAAGACCUGGACCUGGCCACUUCCUGGUUCUUACUGAGAAACAGUAGCCAAUGGGUGCCUUCUGAACACUGAGAAAUUUGUUGGCCAUUUGAAUGUGAACCAUUUCAAGAUGUGGAGAAAGGAUGGAAUAGGAAACAAGAAUGAACUAACUGUUAUGAAAGAAUUUGACAUUCCAGCGUGGUUUGACAUGUACUCGGCUGUUAGACAGCGUAAAAUACUUUUAAGAUGAAAAAUGUUGAUACAGAUCUUCAAAAUUGGUUAAUUGCUUUGUUUUAUAGGAAAUAUUUAACUCUACUCUAAACCAAUGUUGUGAUAUUUUAAGGGCUUUUAUUGGGGCUUUAUUUAUUUGGGGUUUGUCAUUAUUUCAUUUCAUUACUGACAUAAUAGUACACAUAGAUUGUAACAUUUGGACCGCCAUCAUGACCUUAGCACUGAAGACCAUUAUGUUCUGCUAAGCAACUAUUCACAGAUAGUGUAGUUUGAUUUAAAAAAAUGUUAAUAGGCUAUAAAUUAGCUUACGUUUUAUUUCCUUUGAUAAUAAAUCUUUCACAAUUAUUUUAUUACUGCUGUCUGGUCAGUGCACAUACUUUUCUCACUUCCACUGCCUACAUAAUAUACACAGUUAUGUAAUGUACCUAAUUAAAACAUACUUUAAAGAA
This is an RNA transcript of Oncorhynchus kisutch (coho salmon), 5129 nucleotides long. It is a transcript of the gene named putative homeodomain transcription factor 2, with no coding region annotated. NCBI's taxonomy places the organism in Eukaryota, Metazoa, Chordata, Actinopteri, Salmoniformes, Salmonidae. The transcript is spliced from 15 exons. The record is from RefSeq and is a predicted model, not a curated record.